RNAcentral lists this long non-coding RNA (238 nucleotides) under Pelobates cultripes (western spadefoot toad). The record is from RNAcentral. Lineage: Eukaryota; Metazoa; Chordata; Amphibia; Anura; Pelobatidae.
CGGUUUGAUACCCCACAGAAAAUGGCAUAUCAAAGGCUCUUGAUUGACCGGAGUGUCGUGAAUCGUGCUAUGCGUCGUCGAAAUCGCGGAACGUAGCCCGUUAAUGGAACGUUCCGAUCGGCCUGUAGUGAAAAGGUAUGAUAAAGAUCCAGCAUCGUGGAGAUAGGGGUAAUAAAGGGAUCGCAGUCCCUUCCCAUACACCAGCGAACUCAAGGUGUUCCAUGCGGAUAAGUUAUUU